Molecule: long non-coding RNA, 9901 nt
Filed under: Ananas comosus (pineapple)
Lineage: Eukaryota; Viridiplantae; Streptophyta; Magnoliopsida; Poales; Bromeliaceae
Description: long non-coding RNA (ACOM_LNC034691)
Source: RNAcentral
UCUGAAGGAUUGCUGACCACUGCUCUCAACUGCAGGUCUCUUCCCUUUGCCUCGAUCCACAACGUCUCUUUCCUUCAUGAUUUCUGCCCCUUUCUCAACAAUCAAGGCCCGGUUCACUACAUCCCUGUACGUAGAUAGGUUUGACGCCUGGACCAAUCGAAAAAUCGCAGGUCGCAAACCCACCUCAAAUAUGCGAGCCUUGUCCUCAUCAUCUCGAACCACAAAAGGAACACAGUGCAGUAAUCGGAAGAACUCUCGCUCAUACUCUGCCACUGUCCUGUCCCCCUGCCUCAGGUUUCUCAGAUCCCUUUCCAUCUGUCUCUUUACACUCUGAGGAAAGUAAGUAGUCAACAACAAUUCCUUGAACCUGUUCCACGUAAUAGUGGGCAAAUCAAUACGGGGAUCCUCACGAAUAUCCACCCACCACCUGUAAGCCUCGCCGUCAAGGUGGUGCGUCGCAAACCAAACCCGAUAUCGCUCCUCGACGAAUGUAUCAUAGAAUAGCUUCUCCAUGUGCAUUAGCCAUUUCUCAACGACCCAAUGAUCCGCCUUCUCCCCGUCAAAGAUACGAGGGGUACAGCGACAGAAUUCAUUCAGUCGUUCCAUCAUCCGCUCUCGCUCCUCAACCCCCACCAUCUCAGGUAACACUGUCCUUGUCGUAGCCAUAUGCACUGGUGGUGGUACCACUGUCUCCUGUCGGGUCUCUACCCUCGGGGCUACUGGGGGUGUAUCGGGUACCGGUGACGGUGCUCUCGCAGUCGUGCCCCUCUCUGGUGCUAUAGGUACAGAAUCUGGCAGUACAGAAUCUGGAAUCUCUCUGUCGGUCGUCUGCCGCAGUAACAGAUCCUCUAACCUCUUCAUCCUGUCCUUCUGUCGACGCGCAGCAUCCAUCUGCUGUCGUGCUGCCGCAGCCUACUGAGUAACCAAAUUCGUCAAUAUCGCAAGCUGAUCCUGUAACUCCCUGACCUCACUGGACCCCGAGGUGACGGAAGUCUCUACUUCUUCCGCAGCGGCCGCCUCAGUCGCCCCGGUUGUCCCAGAACGAGUCGUAGGCAUCUUACACUGCAGCACAAAAACAAACAUAGGUCAAUAAACCCUAUACUAUUGAAUCCUCAUUGUGGAUAUAAACCAGCUAAUGAAGCGAAAGUAAUGAAAUGUAACGCGUACUAACUUCCGAUGUCACGUUGUCGGCCGCCAACGUGACCCUCUGCAAAGUUAGUAAUUGCACAUCCCGAUCAAACUCCUACUAUUCGGAGUUUAUAAGUACCCAAUCAAAGUACUUUCGCUAACAACAACCUCGACUAGACAUCGUCUCUCACGAGCCUAUCCUUAUAGUCCAACCAGCCUAAGGUUUGCUAGGUCUACUAAGACUCAACCCUAGGCUCUGAUACCACUAUAAUCUGUCACGCCCGGGUACCAGCAGAAGCAUAUCCGGCACGUGCACAGAUCCGCCAUACACCUGCAGUAUAUAAGGCGUCUACGAAGAAAGCAAGUUGAUAGGAAGUAAAACAAAGAGAGUCCUAUCCUGAUAUCAGAGCAAUGUACAAGUCAUUAUACUAUCAGAAAAAGAACAAAGGAAAAUACAAUCCAAAAGCUCGACAGAAGAGAAGUAUCACAACUGUAGUUCUCGGUCCAAGUAGUACAUAUACAUCACGAGUAUACAAAAUAGGAUAGGUACAAUGGUGGUUUCUCUAUACAAAGGGACAUCACCCUCGGUCGUAGCCCGAGUAGCAAGGUGAUUGACUAGCACGCUCCUAGCAAAGUCUAGCUAGACGCGACUCCCUUGCCACGAUCCCUAGCCUCUCCUGUAGAUGGCUCUGUAAAAAUAACCAUAAAAAGGGCGUGAGAACUAUCAACAAUAGUUCCCAGUGGGUAAGCCGCCAGCCUUGGCGAAUUACACCAUUAGGCUCAUGAUGUACUAAAUGGAAAAUAAAAGCAAUAAUUGCAUGAUGCUAACAAGUAAUGAGCAUGUAAUUACAGGAUACCUGUCCAAUGCUAAGCAAUUAAUGAACAUGUAAACAACAUGUAAUAGCUUUCGACAGUAAUGAAUUGAACAAUAAAAGCAUAGCAGCUACUGUAAGCAUAAACAUAAAUAUGAAUGUGUAAGCAGAAACUAUACACAACGACUGGUGAUCAAUCAUUACCGUCCAAAGUCCUUUAGCACAUUCUAUUCAUUCACAAGGACCUACCCAAGGUAGUCCAGCUUGCGCCGCGCCUAAUAGCCCCGUGGUAGUAUACACUCCCCACGACAAUCCACUUCGGCACCCAAUCCCGCAUGGGCGAACAACUGUCGCGUAGGCCAACUCCGGAGUGCCGACUUGUAGGGAGCAACCCUCACAAGCGUGUGCGAAUGAGCACGAUGGCAAGCAAGCAUAUUUCACAGUCCACAGGUCUCAAUUAUCAUGUUUCAUUGUAAUGUUCUUACCCUCGAUCCUCUGAUCGGAAUUUCAAUACACAAAUAGUAACAAGAACUAGUAUCCACUAGAUUGUAAUCAUGUAAGAGUAAUGCUAAAUCACAUGGCAUUAUCAGCAUAGUCAUAAGCAUGUCAUAGUUCUCUACUUUAGAGUCGAGUCAAGAGAAUGUCAUUGUUCUCUACUUAAUAAGUGCGUAAGUCAUUCAACUGAAUUGAAUAUAAUUGUAAAUACUUCAUGUAUAUGUGUUCUCUACUUUAUAGAGAUUUCAAUUCAAUUUUACUCCUCAAGUCCUAUAUCAAACACAAAAGCUCACAACGACACCAUUCUAUAGUACAUAUAGAACAUAGGGGAGCUCCACUUGCUCUGGUUAGGUCCGACCCACCUAUUAUGAAGCUCCAAGUAGUCACACGAAGUCCCAAUAAUCAGCUCAACAAGGCUCCAAUCCUGCUGAAAACGAAAUACCAAAAUCGCGCCGGAAUGAUUACUCAAACUCCAAUUUCGGCAAAAUUGCAAUAAGUACAAGGUGGAAACUUAAUUCUUUGUUUUGGGCUGAAGUUAAUACCUCAACUAAGCCUCAAAAAGUCUCACAAGUCAGCUAAGAGACAAUCCAAAGCUUGCUUGCGCUCUAGCUGCGAAUAACAUCAAAACUGCGUCAAAAAUACAUAUACACAAGCUAGUAUGGCUAAAAUCUUGUGAAUUUAGCUUUUCCGACUAAAUUUCCUGCUUACCUCAGGCUAGAACACUUCUAAACCAGUCCCCACAAUCACCAAUUACGCUCAAUUUAAGUCGGAACUCUGCUGCGAACCGCGAUCCCAAAACUGCAUCAAAUUGCAUCAUUAGUCUCCGUAGAGAGUCCGAUUUAGCUUCAUAAAGACUAAAUUCACGCUAUUAAGCUUCAAAAUAGUUAAUCCCUGGUCUAAGGAGAUUCCUUAACAACUAAAUAAAGCAUCUUUAUUGGCUGAAAUCUCAGUGAAGGUCAGCUGGAAGCAAAACCCAAAAGCACUACUCAAAUCGACUAAAAGGACGUCGAUAACGGAGAAGAAUCGAAUCAAUUACCUCCUCAGACUUCCAACCAGAGAACUCCUGGUUUAGGGAUGCAAAACAAACUUCCAAAACACUCUCUUGCACGUGCGCAAAGGCGCUGUAACGCUCGCGAGUAGCGGAGAGCAAGCGCGGCGACGAAAACGGGCGAAAUUGGCGAGUUCUUCGUGGAGAGAGAAAAAUCCUAGAGAGAGAAAGAGAGAGAGAUGGUAGAACACUCCUCUGCACUCCAGCAACAUCCACAGAGCUCCUGGGGUCGAGCUGGGUCCAUAAGAUAGGGAUAAGUAUGUGAAAUUACCAAAAUACCCCCGCUGCCACGUUUCUUCAUUGCUGUACCGGUACAAGCUAAUGGCUGUACCGGUACAAGCUAAUGGCUGUACCGGUACAGCAAGCAGAAAAAGCUGAUUUCGCCCGAGCAACGCACUUUCUUGCUUCUAGCCUUCCAAUCACCCUCUAACUUGUUCAAAAGCUUGUCCAAGGCUUUUAGAACAUGUUGAAUAGUUUCCCAAUUCAUUCCACACACUCGAACUCGGCAAAUUGCGAAAGUUCAGUAUAUUACAUGGAGAUAGUGACUCCUAACACACCCUUGAGGUUGAUGACUUUGGUAGUGCAACCUACUCUUUUGGAUAGAAUCAAAGAGAAGCAAGUUUCCGAUUUGGAAUUGCAAACGAUUCGAGGUAAAAUGGUUGAUGGUUGCAUUGGUGACUUCCUUUUGGACGAUCAAGGAUUGAUGCGUUUCCGUCGGCGGAUUUGUGUACCCGCGGAUUCGGGGAUUAAAGAGGAUAUUCUUCAAGAAGCACACCGAGCGCCGUAUGCUAUACAUCCGGGAGGCACCAAGAUGUACAAGGAUUUAAAGUUGCUCUAUUGGUGGCCCGGGAUGAAGAAGGAUGUUGGCGAGUUCGUUGCUAGAUGUUUAACUUGCCAACAAGUGAAAGCGGAGCACCGAGUUCCCGCAGGAAAGCUUCAGAGUUUACCUAUUCCCGUGUGGAAAUGGAAGAAGAUCACUAUGGAUUUUGUGACUGGAUUGCCUCGCUCUCAGGCCGGGCAUGAUGCUAUUUGGGUGAUCGUGGAUAGGUUGACGAAGUCGGCGCACUUCAUACCUAUUCAUACUACUUGGACCGGAGAGAAGCUCGCGCAAGUGUACCUAGAGGAGAUUGUGCGACUUCAUGGAGUGCCUACAUCGAUUGUAUCUGAUCGCGACACGCGCUUCGUGUCUCACUUUUGGAGGAGUCUGCAGGACGCCUUAGGCACCCGAUUGGAUUUCAGUAUAGCAUUCCACCCCCAGAGUGAUGGACAGUCGGAGCGCACUAUACAGACCUUAGAGGAUAUGCUCCAGGCUUGUGUUAUAGACUUCCAGGGAGGAUGGUCGCAGCAUCUACCUAUGGCAGAGUUUGCUUAUAACAACAGUUAUCAAGCAAGCAUCAAGAUGGCGCCCUUUGAAGCACUUUAUGGACGGAAGUGUAAAUCGCUGCUUCAUUGGAGCGAAGUUGGCGAGAGAUUGGCUUUAGGCCCUGAUGUGCUCCGGGAAGCUGAGGACAAAGUUCGCAUUGCUCGGGAGCGACUUUUGGUAGCGCAGAGCAGGCAGAGGAGCUAUGCUGAUCGGCGGCGGCGAGACUUGGAGUUCCAAGUUGCAGACCAUGUUUUCUUAAAGGUCUCGCCGACUAGAGGAAUAAAGAGAUUUGGGAUUCGGGGGAAGUUGAGUCCCCGUUUCAUUGGACCGUAUGAGGUUUUGGAGCGUGUAGGCCCGGUAGCGUAUAGACUUGCUCUACCGCCGAACCUAUCGGGUGUGCACAACGUCUUUCACGUAUCGGUCCUUCGGAGGUACAUUCAUGAUCCAGCUCAUGUUUUGGAGGCUAUGCCAGUGGAGCUGCGCGAGGAUUUGAGCUUCGAGGAGCAACCAGUGAAGAUUUUGGCUCGCGAGGUGAAGAAGCUAAGGAAUCGGGAUAUUCCAUAUGUGAAGGUCCUUUGGAGCAACCACGGGGAGCGGGAGGCCACGUGGGAGCUAGAGAGCGCGCUGCAGGAGCGCUAUCCCCAUCUUUUUCAGAUGGAGGCUUGAGGUACUUUGCCUUUUUCGAGUUUCGCGGACGAAACUCCUUUUUAGGAGGGGUGAAUGUAGCACACUGGACCUUUGCAAAUUGCGAGGUUCGAGUGUUCGAUAUGUAUUCCAAACUUUUCCACACUUGGUGGAGGGCCGUCGAUGGUAUACCGGCCUAAAAGUUCGAUCUUUAGAGUUUUGGCAAGUCCUGAGAGUUUUCACUCUCGGGGACCGGUCCUUGAUAUGAGAGACCGGUCCCCUCAGCACAGUGCUGCGACAGGGCUUGAGGCAACCGGUCCCUGGCUGUAACAUACCAGAUUUUGGUAUAAAAAUAAAAAAAAUAAAUAAAAAUAGUGUGAGAAACUAUUUUUAUUGGAUUUGUAGAAGUAAAACAUAAGUCAGAAGUGACUUGUGCUGAAAUCGGAAUGAAAACAGAAGAUCUAGAAUUUUCUGUUGGAAACGGGACAGAUAAAUUAGCAGAAAAUGCACAGUCUCAGAAAAUUAUGAAAGUUGGCAAAGAUGUCAGAAAUAUUUUUAUGAGGCUAGAUUUAAGGUUUCAUAUUUUUCUGACACCCGUAGAGUGAGAAAUAAAAUUCGAUACCUAUCUGAUAAAGAUUACAGUUCGGUACAGUUUUCAGUGACCAAACGGGGUCGAAACUGAACCAGCGAUCGUCAGCUUGUUAAGUUAAGUAAAACCGAACAUGACUGUCAAGUUUGAGCUCAAACGGACAUUCAGGGAGCUCCGGCGAAAGUUAUCAGAUUUCAAGCUGCCCGAGAGUGAAUAGUGUCUUGGGGGUAUUAUUAAGAAGCUGUUGCUUCUUUCUUCUUCUCCUUCAGCAGCACACACCCCACACACGCCACACACACGCAAGGAGAGGGAGGAAGAGAGAACCCACCCAUUUUCUCUCCAAAUCUCUCCCAAAAUUGAAGGUUUUGGUGGAGAAGCAAGCUUGGAAGUUGAUCUUCAUCUUCUUCGUUUUCUUCCUCUCCAUUGGAGCAUGCUUUGAAGGUAAGCUUCAAACCCUUUAAUGGCAUUUCUCUAUUGCUUGGGUUUUAAGCUCUAGAAACGAAUUAGUAGCUUUCCUAGAUGCUAAGUAGAUGAUUUAUGCUUAGAUCCUAAGUUCUAAUGGUGGAUUUUUACCUAUUGAAACCUAGAGCUCCAAAAUGAGGGCUUUAAUGGUAGAUCUCUAAAGAUAGAUCUAAAUGCUUUGAAAAUGGUUUUAGUGGAACCCAUUGAUGUCUAAUAGAUGAUUAAUGCUUGAAUCAUAGAGCAAUUUAAUGAUUUCUUGCAUAGUUGUAAACCUAGGGCUCAAAAUGCAAACUUUCAAUAUAUGAGGGUUUGAUCUCAUUUGACCCUCCGUAAACCAAAUUGCUAGGUAACGAAACGCGUUGGCGAAGACGGUUCGGCAAUCCGACGAGCCGUUACAAAGUUAUUAAAGAAAUGGACGUUUAGGCUUCGGGUCCGCCGGGAGGGCCGAGGCGAUAUCGUAAAUUCAUGAAAAUGGAUUUGAAGCAUCGUGGCACAUAACCGAAGACCUUUAAUUUUCGGAUCGUGAAUUGGAGGCCGUUCGGGUGGUCGCGUGAGAGAUCGGGCCAAACCGGGUGCCGGGUGCCGCGGGAGGCCGAUUGCAAGUGUCGACAAGCAAUCGGAAUGCGAAAUGAGGUGGGUUGUGCUUACCGAAGCGACUAGGUCGCCCUUUAUGUCUAAGAAAUGAGAUUUCAUAUUGAUGCAUAUUGACAUAAUAUAAGAAUGUGAAAAGAAUGCAUGUUAACAUACUAUAGAAAUGCUAAAUGUAAUGCAUAAUGAAUUAAGUGCUAAAAGAAUGCAUGAGAUGCUAAGUAUGGACUAUUUUGGAUAAUGACUAUAUGUAUGUUGACAAAUCAUGUGAUGCUAGUGGUAUAUGUGCAUGAUGAUAUAUUAUGAAUUUACAUAUUGUGGAUUAUGUUAAAUAGAAAAACAUACUUGAUGACAUAUUGCCAUGUUGUGGAACAUAGUGGACAAUCUAUAUAUAUAUUAGAUCGAGUGGCAUUAAACCUAGCAUCUUGAACCUAGCAAACACUUGUGGUGAUUGAUCAUAUAUAUUCUGGUGUCAUUCAUGUAUGUUAGGACCCUAUUAUUGUGUAAAUGUGAGAGUUGGACUUGAACAUUAGUAAACAAGGGUGACAAUGACAAUAGAGACAUGAUUGGCAUCAAGAAAGUGAUUGUUAAACAUAGUUUAACCAUAUUGACAUUGGUCCAAGUUGACAUAGAGUGGCAUGAUUAAAUAGGUAGAAACCUAUUGUGACAUUGGCAUUGUGACUAGUGGCUAUGUAUCCUCAAGUUGAGGAUUGGAUCGAUACUCACGAUAAGUCUUGGCUUGAGGGAGGUAGCUCCCCCUCGGGCGGUGCGCUCCGGAGUUGGUCACCACUGGGCGUGGUAAAGUCCCACCAGUUGACGGUCCCUAGGGAGGUUCGAGUCCCCCGUUAUUAAGGGAUUUGGUUGUGAGUUAUUGGGGUUAACAUGGUUAACCGGUAAGAUUGGGUCAUAGCCAAAUGAGUGUACAACAAGUAUGCAUUAUGAGUUAUGGAUUUGGUAUCCUAGUCGAGAGGAUUUAGGGCUGAGGUGUAUGUGAGACGUCCAUCGCCUCGAGCCUGGUUCUAGUGCGGUACUCCGCAGACGAUUGACUCAAGACCGAGUCGGGUGGUUAGCCUUGUAAAGGUAGAUGAAACUUUAUGAUUAAAACGGUGAUUGACAAGAAUCUAAGAUAGAGGAAACCUUAGAUAUCGAAUGGAUGAGCUAUGGUUAGCAGAAUUGAAAGUAGUAUCGAAUGAACUACUAGUUGGUUGCAUAGUUGCAUUAUUGCAUGAUUUGCAUAUAGCAUUGCAUUAUUGCAUUCGUGAGGCAAAGCAUGGUUUUAUUAGUUGCAUAAUAAAGAUAUAUAUCUAUCUGUUUAUUGAACUAACUUGCAGUUGCCUCCCUUGGACCUAUUGGUCGAGCUCUUCCCUUGGGUGGCCGUACCCACUGGGAACCAUGGAGUUGGUUCUCACCCCACGUGGUUUUGGGGUUUUUACAGGUUCGCACGUGAGCGGCGCGGCAGCGCGAGGAAAGGGCGUAGCUCCGUAGAUAGCGCCCUACCCCAGAGACCAGAGCUAGCAGUACCCCGUCGACAUAGCUUAGGGGUUAAAGAAAUGAAAAGAACACAAUGUAACAUGAUGUAUUAAAGAUAUAAAUGUUGUAAUAAUCUAGAUUGCAUUUGGAUGAAAAAGGAAUGGUACUUGAGGUGUAAAAUGCAUGAAUAUGAAUGAAUGUAAUAAUAUAGGAUGUGUUUAUGUUGUUUGAUACCUUCCAUUAUUGCAAUCUUGAUUGAAAUGUGUUCCUGGUUGGAACUUCGCACAUUGUAUUGAUUGCAAUGCCUUGAACGUACAUGGGAGACUCUGUCCGCAGUACAGGGGAAACCCUGUCCGUUCGGCGAUCUGUCGGCGGCGCCGCGACCCGGCCAAAUAGGCGGGCGGUCGCGGGGCGUGACACUGGCUGUGAGAGACCGGUUCCCGAACGCUGGCUUUGCGGGACGAGCCGAGAGACCGGUUCCUGGCAGGGAGAGACUGGUCCCUCAGCGCGUGAGCGGCCCAGACCGGGCAGUGCACAGAAUGGUUUUUUGAGGGACCUAAGUGGAUUUUGUCACCUUAGAGGCUUUAGGCAGCCUCUCUUCCCCCUCUCACUCUCAUUUCUCUCCCUCACACUCUUCCUACACUUCUAGAGAGAGAAAAGGAAGGAGAAGAAGGAGAAGGAGAGGAGAGGAGCUUGCUUGGAGGUCUCUUUCCUUUGCUUCGAUCCACAACAUCUCUUUUCUUCAUGAUUUCUGCCCCCUUCUCAACAAUCAAGGCCCGGUUCACGACAUCCCGGUAAGUGGAGAGGUUUGACGCCUGGACCAAUCUGAAGAUCGCAGGUCGCAAACCCCCCUAAAAAAUGCGAGCCUUGUCCUCAUCAUCUCGAACUACAAAAGGAACACAGUGCAGUAAUCGAGAGAACUCGCGCUCAUACUCUGCCACUGUCCUGUCCCCCUGCCUCAGGUUUCUCAGAUCCCUUUCCAUCUGUCUCUUUACACUCUGAGGAAAAUAAGUAGUCAAUAACAAUUCCUUGAAUCUGUUCCACGUAAUAGCAGACAAAUCAGCACGGGGAUCCUCACGAAUGUCCACCCACCACCUGUAAGCCUCGCCGUCAAGGUGGUGUGUCGCAAACCAAACUCGGUACCGCUCCUCAACAAAAGUGUCAUAGAAUAGCUUCUCCAUGUGCAUUAGCCAUUUCUCGACCACCCAGUGAUCUGCUUUCUCCCCGUCAAAGACACGAGGGUUGCAGCGACGGAAUUCAUUCAGUCGUUCCAUCAUCCGCUCUCGCUCCUCAACCCCCACCAUCUCAGGUAACACUGUCCC